AUCAUUUGGAGUUUUAAGACCAACCAAGUUGUGGGCAUCAUCUCGUCGCAAACUUGACAGAUCACCUCUAACUUCUGAGCAUCAUCUUGUCUGAAACUUGAAAGAGAAUCAUCUCGUCUAAAACUUGAAAGAGCAUCAUCUCAUCUGGAGUUUUGAGCAUCAUCUCAUCUAGAGUUUGAGAGAGCAUCAUCAAAUAUGAAAUUAUAUUCAACCAUGACUCCAAUUGUCAACUAUCUAACAAACAUAACUCUAACAAUUUAGAUAUUUUAUUUAUGUAUGUAAUUUUAUUAGUUCAAACUCUAGA
Molecule: long non-coding RNA, 304 nt
Filed under: Salvia miltiorrhiza (redroot sage)
Lineage: Eukaryota; Viridiplantae; Streptophyta; Magnoliopsida; Lamiales; Lamiaceae
Description: long non-coding RNA (SMIL_LNC008943)
Source: RNAcentral